UAAUACGAAGGGUGCAAGCGUUACUCGGAAUCACUGGGCGUAAAGCGUGCGUAGGCGGUUUCUUAAGUCUGUCGUGAAAGCCCUGGGCUCAACCUGGGAAUGGCGAUGGAUACUGGGAAGCUAGAGUGUGAUAGAGGAUGGUGGAAUUCCCGGUGUAGCGGUGAAAUGCGUAGAGAUCGGGAGGAACACCAGUGGCGAAGGCGGCCAUCUGGAUCAACACUGACGCUGAGGCACGAAAGCGUGGGGAGCAAACAGGAUUAGAUACCCUGGUAGUCCACGCCCUAAACGAUGCGAACUGGACGUUGGUUGCAACUUGGCAAUCAGUGUCGAAGCUAACGCGUUAAGUUCGCCGCCUGGGGAGUACGGUCGCAAGACUG
Molecule: ribosomal RNA, 377 nt
Filed under: uncultured bacterium
Lineage: Bacteria
Description: bacterial SSU rRNA
Rfam family: Bacterial small subunit ribosomal RNA
Source: RNAcentral